CCUAUGAAGCUUUACUGUAACUUGAAAUUGAAAUUGGACUUUAUUUGCGCAGUAUAGGUGGGAGGCGCUGAAACUAGUCUUGCGGGACUAUUGGAGCCAUCAGUGAGAUACCACUCUUGUAAUGUUAGAUUUCUAACUUUGGAUCAUUAUCUGGUCAAAGAACAGUUUCAGGCGGGCAGUUUGACUGGGGCGGUCGCCUCCCAAAUGGUAACGGAGGCGUACAAAGGUUUCCUCUGAACGUGUAGAAAUCGUAUCUAGAGUGUAAAGGCAUAAGGAAGCUUGACUGUGAGACCUACAAGUCGAGCAGGGACGAAAGUCGGUCUUAGUGAUCUGACGGUACUGAGUGGAAAGG
Molecule: ribosomal RNA, 352 nt
Filed under: Pseudo-nitzschia sp. A2ni
Lineage: Eukaryota; Bacillariophyta; Bacillariophyceae; Bacillariales; Bacillariaceae
Description: bacterial LSU rRNA
Rfam family: Bacterial large subunit ribosomal RNA
Source: RNAcentral